Lingula anatina is the source of this 337-nucleotide long non-coding RNA. NCBI's taxonomy places the organism in Eukaryota, Metazoa, Brachiopoda, Lingulata, Lingulida, Lingulidae. The record is from RefSeq and is a predicted model, not a curated record.
GUUGUGGUACAUCUUACCUGUCAUGCACUGAGGUGUGCCCACUUAUAUUAACACUGACGAAGAUAGGGGAAUAUUUAAGAACUGCUUCAAGACAGAAAGCAUGACUGAAAUAUGGGAAAAGCCUUCCUCGCCGAUCUUAAGUGAGCUUGACAAACCAGGCAUCACAAACGAAGAGGCAGAGGCCUUGUAUGAAAGAUGGGCAAAUGAUUACGAAAAGGAAAUGGUAUAUUUCAAUUACUUUGGACCAAGUUACACUGCUAAUGAAGUGGAAAAAGUGUUAGCAGACAACAAGGAAGCGCUAAUUUUAGACGCCGCCUGUGGAACCGGUUUAGCCGGA